Molecule: long non-coding RNA, 1965 nt
Organism: Lagopus muta (rock ptarmigan)
Lineage: Eukaryota; Metazoa; Chordata; Aves; Galliformes; Phasianidae
Exons: 3
Source: RefSeq, a predicted model, not a curated record
UAAUACCCUAGGGCAGCUGAGAUAACUUCUCAAAUUAACAAAUUAGCAAAUCUUAUCCCUUACAAAGGUGUAUCAUAAUGUAGAAGUCUAUGUCUGAAUCACAUGUGUAAACUCUCACUUUAGAUGAUAGUCCACAGCAAUGCAGCUUACCAAAUGCAAAUCCCUGCCUUCAUUGAAGUGUACAGCUCAAUAACUUGAAUUUAUAAACAAGAAGGCAAAGUGUGUUGAACUAGAAGGUCCCCAGGGUUGAAAAUUUCUUAUUUAACCCCUGUAAAAUUUUUAGGUUCAAACAGGUCUAUGUUAAACAUAUGCACCUUGUACUCUACAUUAUGAUACAUUAUCACAGCAAAGCAAUUCCAAGUUCAUCACAAAUCCACAUCUGCCUUCAUUCCAUAUAUCUUUCCAAAUAAAUGUUAAAUUACCAUAGAGUGUGCUUUCCAACAUCAUACAUGCAUGAAUGUUAGUAAGGAAUGGCUGUAGAAAACAUAUGAAGCAUCAAAUGACCCUCAACAAAACAGGCAGUUUUCUGCAGCACUGUGUAGCCUUCUCUGUAAACAGGAAGAAAAGGAUGGAAGAUCUGUUUGUCUUAAGAAUGCCUGUAUUGACCAUCCUCUGCCUUCAGGCUUCUCUCAUAACUGGGUUAGAAUUGCCUCUAUGGACAUAGAUAAAAUCAUAACAGCUACAUUUUGUACACAUUCUGUGCACUCUAAGUAUGUUAGAGCCAUAAACUACUGUAAUGUAAUUUAAAGACUGCCAUCUCUGAAAUUUCUUCUCCUGCUGCUGCCAUUUUUUUUAAAGUUACUGUUGUAAAUAGCAUUUUUGCAGAAUUUACAAUACUGCCAAUGAAUGAGAAACCUCUCAAAAAGCUGACAGUUUUAGAUCACUUCACAGUUAUUCAUUUAAAAAAUAACUAUUUAAAGACCUUAUUCCCAGAAUUACGUAUGUAUAUAGGUUUCUGUCAACUCACAAGUGGCCAGAGAAUAAAGCACUUGUUAAGGAACAAUGUGAUACUAGAAGAGAUUAAUGAGCUUCUGCGUAUGGAUACUUUAAACCCCUGCUUUGCAAGUAAGAGAUACUUAAAGUACUUUAAAAAAAUCUAUGUAUUUUUUUCUCAGCGUUCUGUGGAUUUGCAUGAAAAUCAGUUUGGUUGAGCUACUGAGGAAUUAACAGGACUGACAAAACAGUUGUGAUAAAAUUACCCUAAUAAACUCAUUGACUGCCUGCUCGGAUGGGGUCAUUGGAGGAUCGUCGAUGACUAGGAAAACCCUGUUACACCUGCUGCUUCACCCUGUGGGGGUGAUAUUGAUUGUAAUUAAUUUGCAUUUGGUUGCGCCUGUGUGCUGUCGUGCUCAUUAAAGAGACCUCUGCCUGAUGUUGUUGGUAGUGCAGGUUAAACAACAUUGAGUACCCAAGAGGUAACACCCAGUACUGUUAAGAGAAAGACUAUCCCAAAGUCUGUAGUCCCAGAACAGGUUAAGCCAAUGUACACAGGGCCUCUUUGGUGUGUUUCCUUCAUUCUUUAUGAUCUGCAGGAUCCCUAAUGAUUGGCAGCCAUGAAGUAAGAACAACUUAGAAAGUUUGAAUUGUAUAUUGAGUUAUUGGGUGGUUCAGAAUCUCUCCAGAUAGUUUGUUCUUCACUGAAAAGAAACUGACUGCAAGCAGAAGACACCUUUCCUCAGAAAGCAGUGGCAGAUCCAGCUUAUAUGUAUCCAAACUUCAUGCCUCAACUAAGUAGUGACUUCUGAUGAAGAAGCCCCAGGCUAAUCAGCUGCCAUCAUCACUGCUGUUGGAGGGACUAGCUACAAGGAAGGAAGCUACUUUUAGAGGAGAUUCUAUGAGGAAAUAUUCUGGAGGUCAGCAAGUUUAUCAUCACUUUCUUUAUCGCACCAACAGAACGGGAACAUCCCACAACAGGGCUGCAGCCAUGGCUUCCAGAUGAUGUUAUACACAGACAGCUGCUGUGGG